RNAcentral lists this ribosomal RNA (253 nucleotides) under uncultured bacterium. RNAcentral's name for it is "partial 16S ribosomal RNA". It matches the Rfam family "Bacterial small subunit ribosomal RNA", at positions 524 to 776 of the family's 1533-position model. The record is from RNAcentral.
UACGUAGGUGACAAGCGUUGUCCGGAUUUACUGGGCGUAAAGAGCGCGCAGGCGGUCGUUCAAGUCGAGUGUGAAAGCCCCCGGCUCAACUGGGGAGGGUCAUUCGAUACUGAUCGACUCGAAGGCAGGAGAGGGUAGUGGAAUUCCCGGUGUAGUGGUGAAAUGCGUAGAUAUAGGAAGGAAUACCAGUGGCGAAGGCGGCCUCCUGGAUCGAUACUGACGCUGAGGCGCGAAAGCGUGGGGAGCAAACAGG